RNAcentral lists this ribosomal RNA (523 nucleotides) under uncultured bacterium. RNAcentral's name for it is "bacterial SSU rRNA". It matches the Rfam family "Bacterial small subunit ribosomal RNA", at positions 874 to 1391 of the family's 1533-position model. The record is from RNAcentral.
UGGGGAGUACGGCCGACAAGGUUAAAAACUACAAAGGAAGUUGACGGGGACCCGCACAAGCGGUGGAUGAUGUGGAUUAAUUCGAUGACAACGCGAAAAACCUUACCUACCCUUGACAUGUCCAGAAGCCUGAAGAGAUUUGGGUGUGCCCGAAAGGGAACUGGAACACAGGUGCUGCAUGGCUGUCGUCAGCUCGUGUCGUGAGAUGUUGGGUUAAGUCCCGCAACGAGCGCAACCCUUGUCGUUAAUUGCCAUCAUUUGGUUGGGCACUUUAACGAGACUGCCGGUGACAAACCGGAGGAAGGUGGGGAUGACGUCAAGUCCUCAUGGCCCUUAUGGGUAGGGCUUCACACGUCAUACAAUGGUCGGUACAGAGGGUUGCCAAGCCGCGAGGUGGAGCCAAUCCCAGAAAGCCGAUCGUAGUCCGGAUCGCAGGCUGCAACUCGCCUGCGUGAAGUCGGAAUCGCUAGUAAUCGCGGAUCAGCAUGUCGCGGUGAAUACGUUCCCGGGUCUUGUACACACA